Molecule: transfer RNA, 65 nt
Filed under: Culicoides cylindratus
Lineage: Eukaryota; Metazoa; Arthropoda; Insecta; Diptera; Ceratopogonidae
Description: tRNA-Leu
Source: RNAcentral
UUUAAUAUGACAGACAAAAUGUGCUAGAUUUAAACUCUAUAGAUAAAGUAUUACUUUUAUUAAAA